GGAUUAAGGCUGCCAUGACAGCUCCGGGGGAAGAAGUCCUCUCCAGUAUGCUGGCUAACAACCCAUCCGACAGAGCGGGUGCAACGGCAGCAACACCAAUGGAAGAUUGAGAUACCGACGUUAGGUCGGACACCCAUCAUCAGGGGACGAGGACUUCAUCCUCCCCCCCCUUCUCUGGAGAUCAUGAAAGAAUGGAGGGCAGAAGAGGUAAAAGUGACAAGACACGCCUAGCAAGAAAGGUUUUUUCUUUGGCACACUGGACACUCCUGUUUUGACUCAUGCACCAUCCGACAACCAGGGUCAUCCGAAUGGGGUUAACUGGAGCAUCGGGCCCACUUCUGGCUUAGGAGGCCUAUGGGAAAAGAAAUCCGAGACCGGCUCAGGAUGGAAUGCCCACGCCCUCUAUGUCCGAACAAGAUAGUCCUCACUAUGGAGCUCGUGGUGAUAUGUAUGUCCCGAUCAGUGUGUAGGAGGAGGACUCAAAAUGAGUUAAAUACUGGAUAUGAUCAGCCCGGGAAAAAAUUCUAUACUUUGCGGACCUGACCCCACACAAGACUCACCUCUAGAAGCUCACGAUGUGAGGGAAUGGGUGCAAAGGGCAAUAUGUAAGUUGGGGAAUGCAAGGCAGACAGGUGCACAGAAUGCCGCAAAGCAGCCCGAUUAAAGAUGGAUUUCAAACUAUUGAAGUUAGGGACGAAAGAGCGAGGACCUCAGGCAGACAGACUAUCGUUUGGAGAACCAUUUAUCUCAGCAACGGUUUGGUAGUAAGGAAGAAGAUAGGAGACUAUCACCCAGUCAUCAACCUAUGCCAACCCAAUGGUUUUGGGACGUACCGACAACUCAAGAAGGAAGGUAUCCAUCUCUUAGGGGAUCUACAAGGUUGGACUUGAAGGGCACUUACCUAUAGGUUCACAUGGUGCCUCAUGAAGUUUCUGAAGUCGGUCACUGCGCACUGAAAAGCAAAGGGUAUCUGCUGUCACAUACCUAGACGACUUACCUUUUGCAAAUCCAAUUCAUGACUACGUUUACAAAUGAGAUUUAUGUUUACAGUUUCGGGAAUUGUUGGGAUUCAUAGUGAACAGAGAGGAGUUGGUUCGAUCCCAGUUCCGAGUGAUUCAGUUCCGCUAUUUCAGAAUAGAUUCCACCUUGGGCGGAUUACACCUUCCCACAUCAUUGAUAGCGACGAUUCGUAAGGAAAUUCGACGGGUACGGCGGAAAGGCACCAUAACCCUUUGACUAUUUCCCAG
Non-coding RNA from Pelobates cultripes (western spadefoot toad), 1247 nucleotides. The record is from the annotation of a GenBank genome assembly. NCBI's taxonomy places the organism in Eukaryota, Metazoa, Chordata, Amphibia, Anura, Pelobatidae.